This 1695-nucleotide long non-coding RNA is filed under the name Mytilus galloprovincialis (Mediterranean mussel). The record is from RNAcentral. Lineage: Eukaryota; Metazoa; Mollusca; Bivalvia; Mytilida; Mytilidae.
CCGCUUACACUAUGUACGUAAGCAUUUCUCAUUUUUUGUCAUUUCCCGGUCCCGCUAGACCUAAUUCCUGUUUUCCGACACAAUAAUUUGACUUUCACGUGUACGCUUACAAAAAAUCGGCAAUCCCGCGUCACGCUUAGACCCCAAUGAGACCCACUACUUAUACCUCCAAUCAUUCUGAGAAGAAUCUAGAGAGACAGAGUCCCUUACUUAUACCUCCAGUCAUUCUGAGAAGAAUCAAGAGAGACAGAGUCCCUACAAAUACCUCCAUCAUUCUGAGAAGAAUCAAGGAGACGGAGUCCCUUGGCAAUCAUUCUGAGAAGAAUCUCAGAGAGAGACAAGCUUAUACCUCCAGUCAUUCUGAGAAGAAUCAAGAGAGACAGAGUCCCCUGGAUUAUACCUCCAGUCAUUCUGAGAAGAAUCAAGAGAGACAGAGUCCCUUGCCUUAUACCUCCAGUCAUUCUGAGAAGAAUCAAGAGAGACAGAGUCCCUUGGCUUAUACCUUCAAUCAUUUUAUCAAAAACAUGCAAGUCAAAAGAGAAAGAUGAUGAGUUAACAGAUUUUGGACAAACACUAAAUGUUCAUAUUUAAAAAUGUUCUUCAAAAUUCAUAAUUUUAAAAAUCAUAAUUUUAAUCAGUAUUAUCCAUGAACUUAUACAAUUUAUCAUGUAUGAUGUAAAUUUGAUGAAUUCACAAGUUGUUUACAUACUAACCAUAUGUAACAACACUUUGUAGAGUGUCAGUCUCAUCAAACUUUAUACAACCAGAUGCUCCGCAGGGCGCCACUUUAUAUGACCGCAGAGAUCUAACCCUGAACAGUUGGGGCAAGUAUGAACACAACAUUCAAGGUUGAUACAGCUCUGAAUGUGGAUUAUGAUUAAAUGUUGACACAACAUAGGUUUCUGACACAGAAUGAAUGUGGUCUAAGAACUUAAACUUGAAAAUUUUAAAUUGGACAUUUACCUAUUAUGGUCCAAUAUCCAAAAUCUAAUGGUUAGAUUCAGCAUAUCAUAGAAUCCCAAGAAUUCAAUUUUUGAUGAAAUUAAAUAAUGUUCAAUUUAAGACCCUUUGGACCACAAUGUGGACCAAUUUGAUAACCUGGCCCAAAUAUUAAAAAUCUAAAUACAUGGUUAGAUUCAGCAAAUUGAAGAACGCCCAUAUAUUCAAUUUUUGUUGAAAUCAAACAAAGUUUAAUUUUUUACCCUUUGGACCUGAAUGUAGACCAAUUUGAAAACAGGACAAUACUGUGCAAUUGAAUAUUUCUUGCUAUUGCGCAAAACUGUGCAAUUGAAAAUUUCUUGCUAUUGCGCAAUAUUGUGCAAUUAGAUAUUUCUUGCUAUUGCGCAAUACUGUGCAAUUGAAGAUUUCUUGCUAUUGCACAAUACUAUGCAAUUGAAGAUUUCUUGCUAUUCCACAAUACUGUGCAAUUGAAAAUUUCUUGCUAUUGCACAAUACUGUGCAAUUGAAAAUUUCUUGCUAUUGCGGAAUACUGUGCAAUUGAAAAUUUCUUGCUAUUGCACAAUACUUAAUAUUAAUAAUUUUGGACCCUGAUUUGGACCAACUUGAAAACUGGGCCCAUAAUCAAAAAUCUAAGUACAUGUUUAGAUUCAGCAUAUCAAAGAACCAAAAGAAUUCAAAUUUUUAAAAUCAAGCUAAGUUUAAUUUUGGACCCUUUGGACCUUAAUGUAGACCAAU